RNAcentral lists this ribosomal RNA (506 nucleotides) under uncultured Desulfobulbus sp. Its description in RNAcentral is "bacterial SSU rRNA". It matches the Rfam family "Bacterial small subunit ribosomal RNA", at positions 880 to 1382 of the family's 1533-position model. The record is from RNAcentral. Lineage: Bacteria; Pseudomonadati; Thermodesulfobacteriota; Desulfobulbia; Desulfobulbales; Desulfobulbaceae.
UUGCCAGCCCGCUCAGAAACUCAAAGGAAUUGACGGGGCCCGCACAAGCGGUGGAGUAUGUGGUUUAAUUCGAUGCAACGCGAAGAACUUACCUGGUCUUGACAUCCCGGAGACCCUUAGGAAACUAGGGGGUGCCUUCCAUCUGGAAGAAUCUGGAGACAGGUGCUGCAUGGCUGUCGUCAGCUCGUGUCGUGAGAUGUUGGGUUAAGUCCCGCAACGAGCGCAACCCUUGCCUUUAGUUGCCAGCAGUUCGGCUGGGCACUCUAAAGGGACUGCCGGUGUUAAACCGGAGGAAGGUGGGGAUGACGUCAAGUCCUCAUGGCCUUUAUGACCAGGGCUACACACGUACUACAAUGGCCGAUACAAAGGGCAGCGACACUGCGAGGUGAAGCCAAUCCCGUAAAAUCGGUCUCAGUCCGGAUUGGAGUCUGCAACUCGACUCCAUGAAGUUGGAAUCGCUAGUAAUCGUGGAUCAGCAUGGCGCGGUGAAUACGUUCCCGGGCCUU